CACCCUCUGAUCCAGCCGACCCCCCUCCUUAUUUCAUGAUUUGGUUUGGUCCAGGUGCACGCGCUCCUGGUUGACCAUGAGCACGGUUACACGGAAGAGUCUCUCCGUUGAAAACUGAGGUCCGGGUUUCAAAAAAUAAAUUGGCAGCCAACGUGUAAUUGGUGCAGGCAGACCCUCCGCACAUAUGUUUGAUCACUAAUCUGACGACCUGGUGCCCCAGCAAACCUCUGGCUCAGCUGUCCCACGCAUCUCCCCAAACUCUCACUCAUGACAGUGAACCAGCCCCACUGAUAUCCGAAGAAGUAGCCACUAAUCCUCGGAGCGUUUUAUCAUGCAGUGGUGACAGUGGGUACUCCUGUCAGCUGACCUGACCCCAGCGGACCUCUGCCGCUAUCGACCAAGUGACCCAGUGUACUGCUGAGGGAAAACAACAUUUCCUGCAACUGCAGAGGGGUCCCCGAGCAGCGAGAGAGGAGCCGGCAAUGUGACUGACACAGGGUGACAAACACUUUGAACUCAGACAACAGGAAAUUAAUGCAUGGAGCGCCGCUCAAGGCACAGCACAUUGCAUGCGGCACACUUAAAUUGACACGUCUAUCCAGAUGACACAUGUUGAUACUGUGGCUGUGGCCUUGGUUUCACUUGUGAGUCUCUGCAUCUGGUUCUCCUCCAAUACUGCUGGCACACUGGCCACAUAAAGACAGGCCCUGCAGAUACUGGAGCCGCCCUGUGAAUACAAAUAGGCUGACUUGUUCCUCCGUGGGAGGAACCAAGCUCUCAGCCCCUCGGCUCCUGGCCUACUUCUGAAUCAAUGUUUGACAAAGGGCGAGUCUCUCCCUCAGCAAAAGGCAGGGAAUUAGAGAAGAUCUUGAAUGGUGAGAAGGCCACACGCAAAGCUAGAGGCUGUAUAGUCCACAUUCUCUCUCAGAGACAAACAGUCAGUGCGAGCUCAUAUUUCCCUGUCCUCAAUAAUGAAAAUAAACCUGCUUACACACCAAGUUUAUCCACGUCGAAGGUCACCGUGUCGGGAUAAACAAACUGCAGUUAGAGAGAGGGGUGAAGAAAGGGUUGGCAAAUAUUUGUUUGCCUGUAUUUUAUGAAGACCUGACUGACACCACUGAAACGUGAGCUUCGGCUGUUAAAAUGAACUUUAUUUUACAAUUUGUACAUAAUCUUGCACUGGAGUUUUUUUUUUUGUUUCAGGUAAACAGAUAAAUCGGGUGAAUGGUGCUUCUGAGUGAGAUUUAUCCUAACAAAAACAAUGAGCAAAGACAAACCUGCAGGUCUGACAAUGGAGCAUUGCUUUCAGUGUUAACUGUGGUGGAAGUUCUGAGGUUUAACACAUUGUUCUGCACUCAAAAAGGCAUAUUUUCCCUCUAAGUGUGGGUUAGCCACUUCUUUUUAAUACGCAUUGUCAGUUUAGCAUUACUUUUUGUGACUUUUACGGCACAUAUUUUGUCAUUCCGCUGUCAAAAAGACUAUCAAUUCGUUAUAAUAUUUAUAUUUGUCAUUCUUAAGACUAAUUUUAUGCUUUCAAAUUAUGUGUACGCUAUCAAACGUUAAGGGAUGUUAAACACAGAUAAAAUGGCGCUGCAUGUUUUACAAUGCAGGAAAUCAAUAUGCUUUUUUUCUCAUUAUUAUGCAUGUCAUUAUGCCUGCCAUUUCAACAGUCAACAAUCACCACAACACUUGAUUCCAAACUGACAUUCAAGGGGUCUGUACAAGAGAUCACAAAAAAAGGAACAUAAUUCUUCUAUGACAAUUUGAAGCCUCAGAUAAUUGCACAAAAUGUCACAUAAUUGUUGAAAAAGUCAAAACAACACACAGCCCACACAGCCUUAUGUGCACUGACAUAAAGUGCAUUUUUGCUAAGUUCUGAGUCAUUUCCUUCAAUGCCAAAUGGUAAACAGUGCAAUUUCCAGCAACCCUGCUGAGAGCUGUCACUCUGCCUCAACUGGUGUUAUAUUAAAAUGCUUCAGAAAUUAGCACUACCUGAGGCAUAAACCACCCAAGAACUGACUGUGGGCUCCAGCAGAAGCAGACAUUAAUUAGAGCAAAUAUGUGUCAUAGCUGGACAUAUUAUGUAUAAUAUAUUUCUACAGCUGCAGCCAAGUGUUACAUUGACCCCUUGUUAGGUCUGUGGACACAUUUCCACUCCCACACGGCAUUUUAAGCCAACAUCUUACUACAAGACUUCCGUACUGCCAGACCCUUUAAUGGCGCUCAGUCUAGUGCUCAUUUAAAAAUAUACUAAGUGGACAAUGCUUUGAACCAGUGUCGGGGUUUUUUGUGUUUUUCUUAGCCUUUAUUAGUGUCACAACCACACAGAGGAACAUUUACAAUGCAGUUUUCCUACCUGAGUUUCUCAUCUUUGAAUCACAUGGAAAGAUUUGGCUUCUCUGUAACACAUACGCGCUCUCUAAACUCUGCAGUUAGCAAAGAAAUAGCAGGAAAAGAAAGCAAAUAAACACUCUAGAAAAUAAAUUCACUAAUUUACCUGUCAAGGUGCUCGGGACUUAACUUGUAACCUGAGUCAAAAGUGUAUUUUGUCCAUAGCAAAAUAAUAAAAGCUGUUUUCUCAAAUAGUACCAAAACCACAAACCAUUAAAAAGCAACUGGCAUUUGACAAAAAAUCUCACAUUUAUUUUAUUUGUUAAACAAGUGUUGAACUUUACAUCAGUCUUAAGUGAAGAGCCCCUUGGUAACAUGUUUACAUAAAAAACAUGAGCUACAGUACAGCAUGUAUACCAGUGCUGGAAAAUAUUCACACAUUUCCCAUUUAUUUAUUCUUUUUUUUGGAAAGAUUUUAAUAAAUAAAAUAUCCAAACCCAAGCGGAAGAACUACAUUUAUGAUAGGAACUUUAUUGUUCAAAGUCGCUCGUUUCAUUUGCGCUCGCCCACCACUCUGCCGUUACUUAAAAAGAUCUAUAUCUGCCAGAAUUACACAAAAAAACUGUGCAAUGCAUAAGUCACCUUAACUGGGGUUUUUGCAUUCCCAUUCUACCAAAGUAAAUGGCAAA
Oreochromis niloticus (Nile tilapia) is the source of this 3020-nucleotide long non-coding RNA. RefSeq lists it as uncharacterized. Lineage: Eukaryota; Metazoa; Chordata; Actinopteri; Cichliformes; Cichlidae. The record is from RefSeq and is a predicted model, not a curated record. The transcript is spliced from 4 exons.